This 66-nucleotide transfer RNA is filed under the name Drawida ghilarovi. Its description in RNAcentral is "tRNA-Ser". The record is from RNAcentral. Lineage: Eukaryota; Metazoa; Annelida; Clitellata; Moniligastrida; Moniligastridae.
UAGAUUGGCUUGGCUAAUAAAAACUUCUAAUUUUUAUUUUGGGGGUUCAAUUCCUCCUCAAUCUUA